AUUGAACGCUGGCGGCAGGCCUAACACAUGCAAGUCGAGCGGAUGAAGGGAGCUUGCUCCUGGAUUCAGCGGCGGACGGGUGAGUAAUGCCUAGGAAUCUGCCUGGUAGUGGGGGAUAACGUCCGGAAACGGGCGCUAAUACCGCAUACGUCCUGAGGGAGAAAGUGGGGGAUCUUCGGACCUCACGCUAUCAGAUGAGCCUAGGUCGGAUUAGCUAGUUGGUGGGGUAAAGGCCUACCGAGGCGACGAUCCGUAACUGGUCUGAGAGGAUGAUCAGUCACACUGGAACUGAGACACGGUCCAGACUCCUACGGGAGGCAGCAGUGGGGAAUAUUGGACAAUGGGCGAAAGCCUGAUCCAGCCAUGCCGCGUGUGUGAAGAAGGUCUUCGGAUUGUAAAGCACUUUAAGUUGGGAGGAAGGGCAGUAAGUUAAUACCUUGCUGUUUUGACGUUACCAACAGAAUACGCACCGGCUAACUUCGUG
Molecule: ribosomal RNA, 484 nt
Filed under: uncultured bacterium
Lineage: Bacteria
Description: partial 16S ribosomal RNA
Rfam family: Bacterial small subunit ribosomal RNA
Source: RNAcentral